RNAcentral lists this microRNA precursor (206 nucleotides) under Oryza rufipogon (brownbeard rice). RNAcentral's name for it is "MIR812 microRNA precursor family". It matches the Rfam family "MIR812 microRNA precursor family". Lineage: Eukaryota; Viridiplantae; Streptophyta; Magnoliopsida; Poales; Poaceae. The record is from Rfam by way of RNAcentral.
AAAAAGACAAACUCUGGGUUUCCGUGUCCACCUUUAACUAUCCGUCUUAUAUGAAUUUUUUUUAUAAUUCGUAUUUUCAUUGUUGUUAGAUAAUAAAACAUGAUUAAUAUUUUAUACGUGACUUGUCUUUUUAAUUUUAUUCAUAAUUUUUUCAAAUAAGACGGACGGUCAAUCGUUGGGCACGGAAACCAAUGUUUGUCUUUUUU